UGUUGCCAUGUGGUGACUUCUGCCCAGUGCUCUGAUUGUCAAGGCGAAGAGAUUCCGCCAAGCGCGGGUAAACGGCGGGAGUAACUAUGACUCUCUUAAGGUAGCCAAAUGCCUCGUCAACCAAUUAUUGACGCGCAUGAAUGGAUCAACGAGAUUCCUGCUGUCCCUAGUUGCUGUCCGGUGAACCAACAGCCAAGGGAACGGGCUUGGGCGUGUCAGCGGGGAAAGAAGACCCUGUUGAGUUUGACUCUAGUUUGAUGCUGUGCAACGACAUGUGGGGUGUAGCAUAGGUGGGAGGCAAGUGCCAUGUGAUCCCCACCAGCGAGCGAGAAAGAAGCCAGAAGUGCGUCCUGAAGCUAUCCAGAAUACAUGUGCGUCCUGAAGCUAUCCAUCAUCGAUCGUCUGUGUGCUUGAGCGGGGAAAGAAGACCCAGAACCUUUGUGGAAAAGGUGACAGGCUCCACCAUUAUAUGAGCCUCGAGAAUGGUGCGAACCAGCAAUGAAAUACCACUACCUUCACCGUCGUUUUACUCAUCGAGUGGCUUGGGGCCAGCGGCCCAAUUGGACAUCAGCUCGUGCAAUCCUGUGUUAGCUGCGGCUAUUCCUGCUUCGUGAAUCAAGCGCGGUCAGCUUGCUGGCCACGCGACUCUGUGGGUACUUCCAUCCCACCCUCAUCGGUGCCUCGGGACAAUGAUCAGUUGGGGAGUUUGGCUGGGGCGGCACGCCUGUUACAGGACAACGCAGGCGUCCUGAAGCAUUGCUCAGAUGGAACAGAAAUCCUCCGUGGAGGAGAAGGCCAAAGGUGCUGCUGAUGCUGCGACUUCCAGUACAAGUCCAAAACGUGCAAGUGUGGCCUUGCGAUCCUUUGGUCAAGUGUGCGAGUUCAGGAUAUUGAAGCCAGAGGUGUCAGAAAAAUUACCACAGGGAUAACUGGCUUGUGGCUGCCAAGCGUUCAAAGCGACGUCGCUUUUUGAUCCUUCGAUGUCGGCUCUUCCUAGCUUCCCACCCGCAGCCGAGUGGAAGAGUUGGAUUGUUC
RNAcentral lists this ribosomal RNA (1035 nucleotides) under Lepocinclis sp. Yeonhwa091109E. RNAcentral describes it as "partial large subunit ribosomal RNA". It matches the Rfam family "Eukaryotic large subunit ribosomal RNA", at positions 2179 to 2934 of the family's 3401-position model. Lineage: Eukaryota; Euglenozoa; Euglenophyceae; Euglenales; Phacaceae. The record is from RNAcentral.